This 77-nucleotide transfer RNA is filed under the name Streptomyces sp. MH60. RNAcentral describes it as "tRNA-Ser". Lineage: Bacteria; Bacillati; Actinomycetota; Actinomycetes; Kitasatosporales; Streptomycetaceae. The record is from RNAcentral.
GCCAUGCGGUGCGCGACGCCGAGCGCGGCCGCGGUGAGCGCGGCGAGACCCUCGGGUUCGGUGCCCGGCGCGUCGUG